Molecule: unclassified non-coding RNA, 270 nt
Filed under: Hevea brasiliensis (rubber tree)
Lineage: Eukaryota; Viridiplantae; Streptophyta; Magnoliopsida; Malpighiales; Euphorbiaceae
Source: RNAcentral
CCUGCCAUAAGCUCCCAAGCAUUGAUCGUUUCAGGCUCUCCCGGCGGCGUUCUUACCGGUGUUUUAGGGACAAUUUUGGGAAUUUUUUCUUGGAUCAUGUUAGACCAUGACUUGGCUUCAAUUAAACCCACCGAAAAUUCUUUGGUCUUCAAUUCCUCAUCAUCUGAAAUCCCAUUUUGCCCAUCACACACACUCAAAUUCUCCUGAUCAUUGCCUCUCGCUGCCCAAAUAUCAAUAGCAUCGUUGACGUUGUCCUUGUAAUUGGAAGGU